CGCGGCCUAUCAGCUUGUUGGUGAGGUAGUGGCUCACCAAGGCGACGACGGGUAGCCGGCCUGAGAGGGCGACCGGCCACACUGGGACUGAGACACGGCCCAGACUCCUACGGGAGGCAGCAGUGGGGAAUAUUGCACAAUGGGCGGAAGCCUGAUGCAGCGACGCCGCGUGAGGGAUGACGGCCUUCGGGUUGUAAACCUCUUUCAGCUCUGAAGAAGCGAAAGUGACGGUAGGAGCAGAAGAAGCACCGGCUAACUACGUGCCAGCAGCCGCGGUAAUACGUAGGGUGCGAGCGUUGUCCGGAAUUAUUGGGCGUAAAGAGCUUGUAGGCGGUUUGUCGCGUCUGCUGUGAAAAUCCGGGGCUCAACUCCGGACUUGCAGUGGGUACGGGCAGACUAGAGUGUGGUAGGGGAGACUGGAAUCCCUGGUGUAGCGGUGAAAUGCGCAGAUAUCUGGAGGAACACCGAUGGCGAAGGCAGGUCUCUGGGCCACUACUGACGCUGAGAAGCGAAAGCGUGGGGAGCGAACAGGAUUAGAUACCCUGGUAGUCCACGCCGUAAACGUUGGGAACUAGGUGUGGGUCUCAUUCCACGAGGUCUGUGCCGCAGCUAACGCAUUAACUCCCCGCCUGGGGAGUACGG
Molecule: ribosomal RNA, 642 nt
Filed under: uncultured bacterium
Lineage: Bacteria
Description: bacterial SSU rRNA
Rfam family: Bacterial small subunit ribosomal RNA
Source: RNAcentral